RNAcentral lists this ribosomal RNA (466 nucleotides) under uncultured bacterium. RNAcentral's name for it is "partial 16S ribosomal RNA". It matches the Rfam family "Bacterial small subunit ribosomal RNA", at positions 28 to 506 of the family's 1533-position model. The record is from RNAcentral.
GACGAACGCUGGCGGCGUGCUUAACACAUGCAAGUCGAACGGAAAGGCCUCUUUCGGGGGGUACUCGAGUGGCGAACGGGUGAGUAACACGUGAGUAACCUGCCCUUGACUUUGGGAUAACUUCAGGAAACUGGGGCUAAUACCGGAUAGGAGCUCCUGCUGCAUGGUGGGGGUUGGAAAGUUUCGGCGGUUGGGGAUGGACUCGCGGCUUAUCAGCUUGUUGGUGGGGUAGCGGCUUACCAAGGCUUUGACGGGUAGCCGGCCUGAGAGGGUGACCGGCCACAUUGGGACUGAGAUACGGCCCAGACUCCUACGGGAGGCAGCAGUGGGGAAUAUUGCACAAUGGGUGGAAGCCUGAUGCAGCAACGCCGUGUGCGGGAUGACGGCCUUCGGGUUGUAAACCGCUUUCGCUCAUGACGAAGCUUUGUGUGACGGUAGUGGGUAAAGAAGCACCGGCUAACUACGU